This 223-nucleotide unclassified non-coding RNA is filed under the name plant metagenome. RNAcentral describes it as "partial contains small subunit ribosomal RNA, internal transcribed spacer 1, and 5.8S ribosomal RNA". The stretch from base 1 to 54 matches the Rfam family "Eukaryotic small subunit ribosomal RNA", at positions 1778 to 1831 of the family's 1831-position model. The record is from RNAcentral.
GGAAGUAGAAGUCGUAACAAGGUCUCCGUUGGUGAACCAGCGGAGGGAUCAUUAUCGAGUUUAUAACUCCCAAACCCUAUGUGAACUUACCACUUGUUGCUUCGGCGCGCGCUUCGGUGCCGCCGAGGACACUUAAACUCUUUGUUUUUAUAAGCAUUUCUGAGUGGCCGAAAGGCAAAAUACAAAUGAAUCAAAACUUUCAACAACGGAUCUCUUGGUUCUG